GUGCCAGAAUGAUGUUAGAGGUUAACUCCUUAAUACUAGUAGAGGACAAAAACUGUGAAAAUGAAAAUUACAUAUCAGCAAAAUAUAACAAAAAAUAUCUGUUAAUUUUAGGUAAAAGCUGAACUGGGCAGUCUAUGUAUGAUCUAUAUGACCGUACAUUAUUGAAUUCUUAUAAAUUAUAAGUAGUAGUAUAAGUUCAUCCUGUAUCAAGGCACAAACUUGUGUUGAAGUCAGUGAGAGAAGAUCAGCUGUUCGUUGGUCUGGUAGCUCAGUGGGCAGUGUGCUAGCUUGGAAGGUUCUGGUCCACCAGGUUUGCUCGAGUGUGUCAGGUCCACAGUCUCUGGUAACGAUCUCAACAACACAACGUGACAGAGUUCUUCACGAUGCUGGAACAGGAGGAACGUUCAUCGUCCUGUUGAUGAUAAAGUUAUUAGUCUGUGCUGCAUCCUCCACCAGGGGGCAGUAUAAGAUCAGCUACUGCCACCAGCUGUGAACAAUGAAGACACAGGACGUUGUUUGCAGAACGAGACGACUGAGAGCAGGAGGAAGCAGUGACGCGUGCCUUUAGAGAUAAAAGUCUUCUGCUCGCUGUCUCUGAGAAGCAACAGAAAUAAAAGGACGAGCGUCAAGAUGAAGGAGGGAGGAAGAGGAGCAUUUAGAGGGAAUAAGAAAGAAGGAGGCUGUUAAUGAAAGUGAAUUGUGCUGCUGUCUGAGAGAAGAUGGAGGCUAAACAAAUGGAAAUAGAGGUUGAGACGUAUGAGAUGAAAUGAUAAAGUGGAGGAGCGGCGGCUGAGAUGAUGAGAGCUGGGCCACAGGUGCUCCGUGUGACUCCAUCAGGAGGAGCAGAUAGCAGCCCCCCAGGGGGAAGGACUGACAGCUGACACCAAGCAAAGUAAAGGAACCAAGCUGCUCUGAACAACGACUCCGUCAACGCCUCUUCUUCUGUGACUCAGCAGCUGUACGCUCGCUGUCUGUGAUGGUGACGUCACAGAAGAGAACAUUUACAUGCAGCUUCUGAAACAGUACAACUCAAACCACCUUUCAUCCAUCCUCAUGUUGGUUUGUUCAUCGGGAGCCAAUCACUGAGGGUCGACAGGUAGGAGGUUGGAGGACCACAUACCCACAAACAGAACCGGUAACGUGAGUUUCAUUGGACUAUUCACUGAAUUAUUCACAGUUCAUCUGCGAGUUCAGUGUCUCGGUUCCAGAGCGGCACCAGCUCCUCACCCCCAGAUGAGUCUGACACUGCCUCACGUCUUAUCGAUGCUCUCAUCUCCAGUUCCGAAGUCGAUGUGAAGCAUUCACCUGCAUCAGCAGCACGUGUUCUGUGUGUGAAACCACAACGCUGCAGCUCUGUGCUACUAUGAAGCUGCACACAUCUAAACUCUGGUCCUGGGUCCAGAGCUGUGUCCAGAACCAGCAUCAGCUCCCUGAAGUUGUGGUGCUGUUUCCUCACAGCAUCACAACUUCAGAACUUCAAAAUGGGCUGAACCCCAGGGAGCACAGAGGGGUCCCAGGCUGGAAGCAGGGCUCUGCAGACGGCAGCAGCGCCGUCCAUCACAGCUGGAUCCGUGCCAACAGCCACACGAGCAGCAGGAUGACAUCAGACGGAUGCACAGACUGUUUGGACUCUGUGGAACAUAUAGAUGCUGGCUCAGCACCAGCCAGUGUCUCAGCAGCCAGAGCAGACGACCUGUAGCAGCACAGUGACAAAGCCCCACAAUGCAACAGGCCCAUCAAAACAGCCGCCACACGAAUGAGGCGGAUUAGCGGGGAGGACGUCAAAGCGUCACGGAUGCUCCUUUGUGUCAGUAACUGGACUGUCGCUCGUCCAUCACUGCGAGCGGUCCAGGCACACGCACGCUCGCCUGAGCCUGGAUCUCCUUUUGCUUGUUCUUUCCAUGUAUUUUAUAGUCAUAUAGUGAAUGAGAACAGAAACAAGCAGCAAAUAGACAAAGACAAACAUUCAUAACACAAACAUGGAAGUUGGUAAACAAUGAGCUGAAGCCGUGGAAACCGUCGUCACUUUCUGGCAUCACGGUCUGUAAAUGUGUCAGAAUCUGCUCUUCUUUCCUGUUUAACUGGUGGACGACAGCGUUUUACCAACGAGAGAUAAACAUGAGACAUGAGAGCAGCAGUAAACAAGUCAAACAUUAAAGACGUCGCUCACCUCAUCCCGUCUUAAUAACGUCUGUUUUCAUGUUUUCCUUCACACCCACUGACGGAACCAGAUGGGU
Betta splendens (Siamese fighting fish) is the source of this 2237-nucleotide long non-coding RNA. RefSeq lists it as uncharacterized. Lineage: Eukaryota; Metazoa; Chordata; Actinopteri; Anabantiformes; Osphronemidae. The transcript has 3 exons. The record is from RefSeq and is a predicted model, not a curated record.